GCCAAGAGGGAGCUGAGACUUGCAUUUUGCUGUUCGUAAGCACUGAAGAAAAGCCUCAGGUUAUAUAAUGCUGAAACAAGUCCUCUUUCCUGGUGAAUUUCAUGCAUCGCCUCUACCACAACUCUCCCAGGCAGAUCGUGCAGUAAAGUUCGUGCAUGGUGCAGGAAUGUAGCACCUGCUCAAAUCCUGGGGUUUCUGUCUAACGUUUCAACACUCGACAUUGUCUACAUCUUUAUGGUAACCAUGCUGCUUUGCUCCUUUUUCACUCCUAAAUCCUCCUCCUAUGAGAUUGACAGCCGUCUUGUCUUCUGCUAUGAGGGAGGGCUUCUCCCAUCGACAUCGCUACGGCCACUUGGGGAUGUGGAUGAACUACGAAGCUCUCCUGUCGGAAUAGCAGCAUCUUCGCUGAAGCGCUACAGUGGUGCUGCUGCAGCAUUUUAAGUGCAAACCUGCCC
Molecule: long non-coding RNA, 455 nt
Organism: Mauremys mutica (yellowpond turtle)
Lineage: Eukaryota; Metazoa; Chordata; Testudines; Geoemydidae
Exons: 4
Source: RefSeq, a predicted model, not a curated record